This 253-nucleotide ribosomal RNA is filed under the name uncultured bacterium. Its description in RNAcentral is "partial 16S ribosomal RNA". It matches the Rfam family "Bacterial small subunit ribosomal RNA", at positions 524 to 776 of the family's 1533-position model. The record is from RNAcentral.
UACGUAGGGGGCAAGCGUUGUCCGGAAUCAUUGGGCGUAAAGCGCGUGUAGGCGGCCCGAUAAGUCCGCUGUAAAAGUCCAGGGCUCAACCCUGGAAAGCCGGUGGAUACUGUCGGGCUCGAGUCCGGAAGAGGCGAGUGGAAUUCCUGGUGUAGCGGUGAAAUGCGCAGAGAUCAGGAGGAACACCGAUGGCGAAGGCAGCUCGCUGGGACGGUACUGACGCUGAGACGCGAAAGCGUGGGGAGCGAACAGG